AUACAGAGGUCUCAAGCGUUGUUCGGAUUCAUUGGGCGUAAAGGGUGCGUAGGCUGUAUGGUAAGUCAGAUGUGAAAUUUUAGGGCUCAACCCUGAAACUGCAUCCGAUACUGCCGUGCUAGAGGAUUGGAGAGGAGAUUGGAAUUCAUGGUGUAGCAGUGAAAUGCGUAGAUAUCAUGAGGAAGACCAGUGGCGAAGGCGAAUCUCUGGACAAAUCCUGACGCUGAGGCACGAAGGCUAGGGUAGCGAACGGGAUUAGAUACCCCAGUAGUCC
RNAcentral lists this ribosomal RNA (274 nucleotides) under uncultured bacterium. RNAcentral describes it as "partial 16S ribosomal RNA". It matches the Rfam family "Bacterial small subunit ribosomal RNA", at positions 523 to 796 of the family's 1533-position model. The record is from RNAcentral.